GGGCAAAACCGUUGAAAAACGGUGACGCAAAGCUGUGAGUCUACGGCAGAAAACUGCUAUGAUUGUCAGGCUGC
RNAcentral lists this non-coding RNA (74 nucleotides) under human gut metagenome. RNAcentral describes it as "Cyclic di-GMP-I riboswitch". It matches the Rfam family "c-di-GMP-I riboswitch aptamer", at positions 10 to 83 of the family's 87-position model. From Rfam's summary of the family: GEMM was predicted in a large-scale screen for bacterial structured RNA regulatory elements. Genes associated with GEMM are involved in a diverse array of functions, including chemotaxis regulation, signal transduction, secretion and chitin. The record is from RNAcentral.